This 1311-nucleotide ribosomal RNA is filed under the name Escherichia coli. RNAcentral describes it as "partial 23S ribosomal RNA". It matches the Rfam family "Bacterial large subunit ribosomal RNA", at positions 574 to 1869 of the family's 2925-position model. Lineage: Bacteria; Pseudomonadati; Pseudomonadota; Gammaproteobacteria; Enterobacterales; Enterobacteriaceae. The record is from RNAcentral.
UGGGAGCACAGAGCAAUCUGUGUGACUGCGUACCUUUUGUAUAAUGGGUCAGCGACUUAUAUUCUGUAGCAAGGUUAACCGAAUAGGGGAGCCGAAGGGAAACCGAGUCUUAACUGGGCGUUAAGUUGCAGGGUAUAGACCCGAAACCCGGUGAUCUAGCCAUGGGCAGGUUGAAGGUUGGGUAACACUAACUGGAGGACCGAACCGACUAAUGUUGAAAAAUUAGCGGAUGACUUGUGGCUGGGGGUGAAAGGCCAAUCAAACCGGGAGAUAGCUGGUUCUCCCCGAAAGCUAUUUAGGUAGCGCCUCGUGAAUUCAUCUCCGGGGGUAGAGCACUGUUUCGGCAAGGGGGUCAUCCCGACUUACCAACCCGAUGCAAACUGCGAAUACCGGAGAAUGUUAUCACGGGAGACACACGGCGGGUGCUAACGUCCGUCGUGAAGAGGGAAACAACCCAGACCGCCAGCUAAGGUCCCAAAGUCAUGGUUAAGUGGGAAACGAUGUGGGAAGGCCCAGACAGCCAGGAUGUUGGCUUAGAAGCAGCCAUCAUUUAAAGAAAGCGUAAUAGCUCACUGGUCGAGUCGGCCUGCGCGGAAGAUGUAACGGGGCUAAACCAUGCACCGAAGCUGCGGCAGCGACACUGUGUGUUGUUGGGUAGGGGAGCGUUCUGUAAGCCUGUGAAGGUGUGCUGUGAGGUAUGCUGGAGGUAUCAGAAGUGCGAAUGCUGACAUAAGUAACGAUAAAGCGGGUGAAAAGCCCGCUCGCCGGAAGACCAAGGGUUCCUGUCCAACGUUAAUCGGGGCAGGGUGAGUCGACCCCUAAGGCGAGGCCGAAAGGCGUAGUCGAUGGGAAACAGGUUAAUAUUCCUGUACUUGGUGUUACUGCGAAGGGGGGACGGAGAAGGCUAUGUUGGCCGGGCGACGGUUGUCCCGGUUUAAGCGUGUAGGCUGGUUUUCCAGGCAAAUCCGGAAAAUCAAGGCUGAGGCGUGAUGACGAGGCACUACGGUGCUGAAGCAACAAAUGCCCUGCUUCCAGGAAAAGCCUCUAAGCAUCAGGUAACAUCAAAUCGUACCCCAAACCGACACAGGUGGUCAGGUAGAGAAUACCAAGGCGCUUGAGAGAACUCGGGUGAAGGAACUAGGCAAAAUGGUGCCGUAACUUCGGGAGAAGGCACGCUGAUAUGUAGGUGAAGUCCCUCGCGGAUGGAGCUGAAAUCAGUCGAAGAUACCAGCUGGCUGCAACUGUUUAUUAAAAACACAGCACUGUGCAAACACGAAAGUGGACGUAUACGGUGUGACGCCUGCCCGGUGC